UCUGAAAGUCCGGGAGGUGACGCAAGCAGUUGCUCCGGCAAGAGAAUAACAGGAAGCGGGGGACGAGAAAAAAACGGACCGGACUGCAGCCUAAGAGUUCCGGGUCUCUUCGUUCCUCCCAACUUCCCCAGCACGCGCCAGAGGGUCCCCCUGAUUGAAAAUGGCAAACAUUGAAGAAAAAGUCAACUGCGUCCUCUGGUUAGCUGAACUCAAGUCAGCAACAGCUGUAAGAAGAAAAUUUGCUUCCCAUUAUAAGAAAGAGGCUCCCCACAGAAAUUUAAUUAACAACUGGAUGAAAAAAUUCAAGGAAACUGGCUCAAUUCAUGACAAGCCUAGAUCUGGGAGACCCCGAGCAAGCGAAGAGACUGUGGCUGAAAUUGCAAAUGAAGUAUUUAUAGCACAAGAUGGUGGCUAUGUUGAAUUUUAAUAAGAAGCAUAUCAGUAUUUUAAAUUUUAAAUAAUUUUUAAGUGUUAUUUGUUAGUUUGUAGCGUUUAUACUUCUAAAGUCAUUAAAGUUUAAAACUACACUAAUA
Phascolarctos cinereus (koala) is the source of this 533-nucleotide non-coding RNA. NCBI's taxonomy places the organism in Eukaryota, Metazoa, Chordata, Mammalia, Diprotodontia, Phascolarctidae. The record is from RefSeq and is a predicted model, not a curated record.